Molecule: non-coding RNA, 73 nt
Organism: Myotis davidii
Lineage: Eukaryota; Metazoa; Chordata; Mammalia; Chiroptera; Vespertilionidae
Source: Rfam
GGUGGUUCUUGGGUGAUGCACCCCGGAAUUUGGCUCCCUCCUCUCUGGUUCCGGGUGUCACCAGAGAACCACA